This 253-nucleotide ribosomal RNA is filed under the name uncultured bacterium. RNAcentral describes it as "partial 16S ribosomal RNA". It matches the Rfam family "Bacterial small subunit ribosomal RNA", at positions 524 to 776 of the family's 1533-position model. The record is from RNAcentral.
UACAGAGGGUGCAAACGUUGCUCGGAAUUAUUGGGCGUAAAGCGCGUGUAGGCGGCUUGUUAAGUCGGGUGUGAAAGCCCCGGGCUCAACCUGGGAAUUGCAUUCGAGACUGCAUUGCUGGAGUACGGAAGAGGAGGGCGGAAUUCCCGGUGUAGCGGUGAAAUGCGUAGAUAUCGGGAGGAACAUCAGUGGCGAAGGCGGCCCUCUGGUCCAGUACUGACACUCAAGUGCGAAAGCGUGGGGAGCAAACAGG